AACUUUCCAACAAAUAAACCUCUUGCCAAGCUGCUCCCGGAUGUUUUGCUUGCCUGCAAGCUUGCAUGAUGUACCUCCAAAGGGCUUAGCUGUGGUAAUUACAUCUCUGUUGCUGUUCGGGGCUUGUAAGGAUAAUUUUUUUAUAGUUCAUAGUUAAAAUGUUCCAAAUUCCUAAAAUUUCCCUUGUUUUGGAUGGAUAUUGUUUUUUUGUGAUGUAGAACUUUAUUUAUUACCGUAGGGAUGAACAACGAAUAGCGGAGCAUCAAAUACUUAAUUAUAAAGAGGUGAAACGCACAGGUGGUUUUAUAUGUGGAACUGAGUGCCUAAACUUCACAGGAGACUCUUCAAAACCGCUAAGGUCUGAAAAGUUCAGUGCUUACAGCUAGAAUUUCAAGGAGCCUAUUGUAGAUGCGUUAUUUCCUGUCGCAGAUAACACAUGAGGCUCCUGCAUGCUCCGUCUCCCAUUGCCACUCCUUCCCGACGUGGUCGGGCAUGAGACAGCUGUGCUUUGCACAGACACGUUUUGACUUUGCGGGCAUAAAAGGAAGAAUUGGCGAUAGACAGGUUCUGAGAGUAGUUUGUGACUCGCGCCCGUCCGCUGCAGAAGUCUGUCGGCCUCUUGUACCUCCGCUGCUGCUCUAGGUCAAAGUUGGCUGCGGUGAUGGGAAGGCUUCCGCUAGUGACCUCAGUGUGUGUCUCCUGGUCUUCCUAGGAUGAAUUGGGACUGUUGAGGAAUCUCUUUGCUCCACUUCCAUUACUAUUAGCAGAAGCAGAAAAUGAUUAGGGUCUGUGGAACUUUUGUUGUUUAAAAUCAACAGGUUCAGUCAUGAUAGGGCUUGUAUAACAAAGAAAGUGGUAUGAGAGCAUCUUGAAACGCUGCUGUCCUGACCCUGGUCGUGGUUAUAUUUGAACAGUAGGUCAGAUUGUUUUUAAAAUGAUUGCAAAAUUCUGGGGAGAACUAAGUAAACUGUGCAAGUGACAGAGUAACAAAGAAAAUGCCACUUUUAAUCAUGGCACAAGCAGUAGUGAUGAUCUAGAAAAUACAGGAAUGAAUGUUUUGACAGGAGGAGGAGUGAUCCUUAUUGCUGGAGAGCAAGAAUAGCCAAUGACAAAUGAGAACAAAACCAGAAAUAAAAAUUCUGGGCUUUCAGAACAUGGGAUAAGGUUUUGGUUCACCAGUACAGUUGCCAGCAAAGAAAGUUACAAACCUUUUACAGCAGGGACGCUUUUUGCUGUCUUGAGUUUUUUUUCCAUUCUGAAUGUUUCUUCCCUGGUGGCAGUUUUUCUGUCUCUGGCUUGUCCAUUUGUUUUGUAUACUCUUCUUUUUUUUUUUUUCCUUUUUCCUUCCUGUGGACUUUUUCUCUUCUCUUAGCCAACCUUCACCCAAAGACUAAGAAGAUGAACUGUUAAUUGACCUUGACAUUACUCCCUGCUUCUAAAAUGACUUUUUCCAUCUUUUUACCUUAUCCUAUGUAAAUAAAAUUUUUUUGAGCAGAUACAGUAUUCCUCAAUUGUACAGGAUACAUAGACCCUUUCUUAGUUGUUCUCAAUGGUCUGUGGUACUUCAGAUAAUUAAUUAUUUCUAUUCUGUUCAUAUAUUUUCCACAUUCCAAAAAUGAGGAUGUUGUCAGUUAAAACUACUGCAUCUCUUUCCAGGAGUCUCAGGUAUGAUUAAGUCCGUCAUUGUGGCAUGAGGGUGGUGGUUAUGACAAAAAUAUUGACUUUACUGACUUUGAUUAAUACUGUUUUUUAUUUAAAGAUGAUGAAAAAGAUGAUGAACCAGCUUCUGCUAAGAAACGUAAACUAGACUCUGGGGAGCAGACAAAGAGGAAGAAGUUAUAAGCGGGGCAUGCUGCAUUUGGCCAAAAUGAGAAUUUCGGUGAACUUGGAUUCUGCUGCUGGAAUGAGAAACAAAUACAUGUUUACCAAAUUUCUCUCUCCUAUCGGGUAGGGAGUUUUAUUUCUGUAGUAUGCUUGCUUUCUGGAAAGCACAAAAUUAAAUGGGCAGUGUUGUGAUAGAAACUGGUCUACUGAAAAAAAACUUAAACCUGUUUACUUAAAAAAGGUCUCUUAAAACAUUGCGACGGAUACUUGUGCUCAUGCAGGUUAUAGGGCUUUGUGGUACUUUCUUUAUCAACAAACCUGGUAACUUGUGGUAUGAGCUUUUCUUGACUGACUUUUCCAUUGUGUCAAACCUUUUAUAAAGGAGCAUAUAUUAAAGUUUCUUUAAGUAUUGUACUGUGAUAUGUUUGAAUAAUGCUGUUUUGAAAUUUAUGUAAAGACUGUAAAUACGUCACUGGAAUAAAAUUACUUUUGAAAACGUUUGCAGUAUAACUACUGCAUUGCAUGCGUAAUGAAUAGGAGGGAUGAAUUAUUUAUGUAUUUCAGUGAUGUGUUUCUAAUGACUCAACAGAUUCUUCAGGGGUUUGUUUGCAAUAAAUCUACAACUACAAACUUUAAAAAUGGACUUACAAAUGGAGUUUAAUAUCUGAUAAUUAGUUUUGAUGUUAUGUGGUCUGCAUCGGUGAAGCAUGAGACUAAAUAGUAAUAGAAGAAUUGGAGCAUUCAGGGUAUUCUUCCUAAAACUGAAAAUAGCAGCAAAAUAUUUACUUGAAAAGAAAUUAUGACAAAGCUGUGACAGUCUUUACUACCAAAUCGUUUGUACUUCAGUAAAAAUGUACUUAAGUACUUUGUCUUUUCUUGCAGUGUUAUAGCCAGUAUAUGUUGCAUUUAUGAUAUGCUGCUGGGCUUUUGGGUCUAUAUUUGAAAAAAUACCAGCAAAAUGGGGGGGAGGGUAUUUUGAGAUAAAAGCUUUUGUCCCUUCAGAAACCUACAGUGACAACUAGUCAACACUCAUAUUUUUUAUUCUCUUCUUAUCCUGGAGUAGCUUUCAGUUGGCAGAACAGAUGCUUAUCAUAGAGCAUUCUGUAUGGAUAUAUUCUAAUGUAAUGUUAGUGUUUAAAAAAAAUGUGAUUUCAAACCUCAAUAUAGAAAAAUAUAUUCCUUUUUAGUGAGUACGUGAAGACAGCAACAAGUUAGGCAGUUGUAGCCUUGGCAGUGUGAUAAUGCUUUCUCUUGUUCCUUCUGUACCUGCAGACUCUACAGUCACUCCUUGCUGAUUUCCCAGCUGAUGGGCUACUUCCAUGAUAUAUUCCCCAUCUUCCUGCUCUGCCAGUUUGGAAAGGAUUCAAACAACGGUAGUUGUACACAGCUCCGGGUGCCCCAUGCACAAGAUUUCUUUCUUUUAGCACAAACCCAAAUAUCUAACCCCCUCAUCAUAGCGAGCCCCAAGACUAGAGAGGGUGUCAUAGGCAAAGCUUAUGAAGUUAGAUGCCACAUCUGUUCACGGUCUCUUGAAAUGUUCCUUCCUUCAGGAAGUGCCAGGACCAGAAUAAGCUGCCCUCUAGGUUGCAGAGGGAAACCUCUCAAUCCCUUAGUAAUGAUCCUGCUUAGUUCCAGGUGGAAUCAAGAUCUCUUCAUGGCAGUCGUAUUUAUCCAUUAAUGAAGCAGAGCUUUCCUAGGUGGAAAGCGAGGUGAUAGAUGACAAUUUAGGGGAACUGUGGAGGGCUGCAUUUUGUUCAGUUGAGAAGCUAUAAAUGCCUAUGCUUCAAUUUCGCUAGACUUGUCAGUAAAAUUCUCCCUGGUUCUAGUAGUUGUGUAUGAUAGCAUUGAGUAAUGAUGAGUAAUUGUGUUCUCUUAAAGGAAUAACUACCUCGGCGCGUAUAAUGCAGCCUAACAGCAUCCUCUUCAGGAAGUGGGUUGUUGUCAGCUACUGUUGUAGCUGCUAUCUAGGUUCUUUUGGUCUGAGAUCAAAUGGUUCCUCUAAGCUUUGCCUACAAGAAAAGGAAGGGUGUUUUUUCCCAGAGUGUUGAACAUGAAGUCUCUGAAUGAGAAGGCUCACUCCAGUCAAUUUUUUCUAUAUCUGUAGUCCUGAUAUAGCACCCUCACCCUAGCAAAUCUUCAGAGAAUGUGGUAGAAGACAAAUGGGAGUGCAUUUAUGCUGUAGCUAAUGGAGAGCUGGAGGUAGGAAGCAAUAGCAAGCUCCUCUUCCAUUAUGAAAAUCAGAUGCUAGGUCAGUUUCUCAGGUAUUCUGUUUUUGUCCAGUCUGCAAAUUGCAGAUCACCUUACGUCUAGCAAGAUACUUUUGAGAAAUCUAUCUCUACUGCUGAGCAUGUACAGAGCUUACUCCAGGUUUACGUGGGAUGAAUGGUAAGGAUUCUUGAAACUUGAAGGGUUCAACGUGGAAUGCAGGGUUCAAUGGCCUGGCUAAUUCUCAAGUCUCAUAAUAGUAUGCCAGUUUGCUACUAAAGUGCUACUUGAAGAGCUUUACAGUUGAACGUUAAUGUCAGCGGCUCUGGAAAUAGGAUGCAUUCCCACGAUUGCCAUGACCAAGGAGGCUUUUGUCCUGUUAUUGUUUGCUGUGCGAUUUUACGUGGCAGCUCUGGAAGUAACCAUGCUAAUGACUCCUUUUGUUUUCAGAUAAUACGAUAUAUGUGGUGUCCAGUCAUCUUGAAGCUAACACCAUCUGAUACUUGGUUUUCAAGGAGAAAAGUAGCAUGUCUAAUCUGAGAGAAGAAUGAUUAAUUGUAUUAUUUACAGGUUGAGAGAAACUGCAUUGUAAGCAGUGACCAUGACAGCUUUCCUAUUCAGGAUAAGUGGUGAAAGCAGUUAUGCUUCUUUUUUUUUUUUUUUAAAUAAGACGUCUGAAACAACUGCAGGCUGUGUGAAAGCCUGUCUGAAGCUGAGUUGCUUUGGUGGGUGGGUUUUGUUGCUGGAUGACUUCUAAAGCAUCAGUGACUUCUAAUGCAAACAACUACAGAACUGCCACUAGUGGGUAAGUGGUAGGGUCUUAAAGGGAAAUUCUAAUGUAAGAAAAGAAUGAGAGGCGUUUGGAGGUAAAAUCUGUGGGGCUAGAGCAGAGACAGCUUUUUUCAUGUGAUAUGUAGUUGCUAGGAUUGCACUAGGCCUUGUAGUCUGAGAGGUCCUAGUGCUCUUUGGCACUGCACAGUUGUGGUGCAGCCUCUUCUCUGCCAGGAGACACGUGCUGGAUCCUGCUGCUGAAUUUGUAACUGCUCCUUGGUUUGUCACAUCUUGCCUCAGCGCUCCAGCACUGAGCUUGAUAAGUAAAUAACCAGCAGCUGGAUUGUCGUGGAUAUGAAGCUUUUCCCAAAAUAAGUGAGACAGGAAAGCUUGACCAGCUUUGGUUUCUAAUGGAGAGCAAUUGCAGCUGAGCUAUCUGCUUAAGAAGAAAGUCUUAAGGAGAGUAGUGGUUACAGAGUGGUAUGGAAGUCUUCUGCCUACAGAUGUGACUGUGUGAGAGGGCAACUUAGGAUAUUUGCAGUAUUCCUUGUUUGCAUUUCAUGGUGGCCUACUGUUGAGAGAAAAUGGCUGGAAAGACGGAUAAAACGUUUCUAGAAAUGAGAAAGUACAGUACUUACUAAGCAGUAUUUACCUCAGGGCGGUGGGGAGGCAGGUAUCUCUAUCUGGUACUAAGAGGCUGUUUGAAAGCAGCUGGAUUGAGCUAGGUAGAAAAUAGCUAAGAGCUAGGAGAAGAAGAAAAGGAGGAAAAAGCCUACUGAAUUUGCUGGGGAUCUCUGGGAUCUUAUUCAGAUAUAAUAAAAAGCUUCUAAGAUAAAUUGACAAUAAAUUAAAUUAUAAGUCGUCACCUGGAGUUGAGCUUCUAGGUCAAAAUCAGUGAUAAAUUUUCCGUGGUAUUCAUAGCAGUGAUGCAGUAAAAUUACCGGGUGUGGUUCAAGUUCCUCAGUAAUUCACUGUAGAAGGAAGCAGCCGCUAUCAGGAAAGAUGUGUUCCCAAUAAGCCUUGCAAUUAUAGGAGUGCAUCUAAUAUGCAAAACGGAAAAGGGGAUUCUAAUCUUUGUGCCCUUUUUGAAUGAUUAGAAGUGAGGCUGAUUUACAAAACAAGAAGAAUUGAUGGUGGUGGAGUACUUAAAGGAAGCAGAUCUUUUAAAGGUGAAGAAAUGAGCAAUAAGGAGAAGAUUAGCUCAUUUGUUUCAGAAGUAGCAGAGCGAAAGACAUGAAGCUGAAGGACAAAUCUUGACGGAACAAAAAACCUUGCAGGUUUUCUUUAGGUUUUGGCAGCUCAUAAUGAGACUUUGGCUACUCUGUGCAAAAGGAUCUGUGAAAUGCAUGAGUGAACUUAAAACUUAAACUGAUAGCUCGUAUGUUCGAAAACAAGUCUAACUAGAGAAGAGUUUAUCCUGAAUUGACUCUCAAGAGGAGACAGUGACAGGAACAUACACCCCCAUCCACAAAUGGAGAAGACUGACUUACGAAAUCAGAUCUCUUGUUAACUCAUGUUGCACUCUUUUUAUGAUGAAUCAGAUGUAAUGAUGUUUAUUGUUCAACAGAAAACAAAUAGCAGGAAUAGCGUCCUACAAGUUUGAUCUGAGAAAAUUCUCUAAAAAAAAAAAUUUGCCAAGGGUAGGAAAACAGGGCCUGGGAGGCAGUCAGUUUGCAAUGAACGCAUUGUGUUGCCUCCAGCUGCUGCCUUAUUAGCAGCUACCUAAAGUAGAUUUCCAGGAAAGGCAGGAUGGUAUACGAAAACAAAUCUCAUCAGAGUAAAACUACAGCUGUAUAGGAUAAUGGCUUUCAUGGCAGGCAAAACUUUGUCUGAAAAAUGCUAAUUGAGAGAUUGUUGCAAGGCAUCCCUCUGUUAGCCUGCUUGUUAUUCCUUUGCGAUAGCUUGAUGCACACUAACACCAUUGAAGAACUGAUUCAUUUACAGAUGGUUUGUGAUAAGCUUAAGGCUGCCGAUCUGAAACUGAAUCCAGGGAAAUGCAGCAUGUUGCACAAAGAGUAAUUUAUCUUGAACCUAUAAUCAGUGAGGGAGGAGGAAUUUUUAUCAUCAGAGAGAAACAGAAGCUGUGUAGAGUUGGCUGACCCCUUAAGUUCUCUGAUGACAGGAAGCUCAUUUGCUAGUUUGCUAAUGUUGCAAGAUCAUGGCAGAAUUUGAAUGGAAAGAGGUAAUGCUUUCAGUCACCAGCAGGAUACAAUUUGAGAUUUUUUUCAUGCUUGAAAGGAUCUUGUGACUGUUUCUGUCUGAGCUUGCUGAUUUUUCCAAAACCCUGUGAAUACUAGACACAGAUGUUUGUGCUUUUGAUUUCUGUGUAAGUUUGAGAAAAAUGUAGGACUAUCUUAAAAGGGUGCUAGCUGAUUACAGCUAAAGUAUGAGUUCUUCAGAGAUAAAGAUCCUUGGCAGUGGCUAAAGGUGUGCAGCGUUUUCAUUUUGAGAGAAGAUACUCAAGCACACCUACGUUUACUCUCAAGACCGAACAAUUCUGAAGGAUAGCUUUUUACUGGAAAAAUCACAGCACCAUGAUUUCUUAGACCCACAAAGGCCUGGCCAUAAGUAUGGUAUUACUACAUGCCUUAUGUAGGUGAGCCUGUUGAGAGGCUAAUUGCUCUAACUACAGGUGGAAAUGACUGCCCAAGCACGCUCAGGAAGAGAUGUCUGUCUCCUCUCUUUAUAAUUCACAAGAGGGCGGAUGUUACAAACUAAAAAACUUCGCGAAGAGAAGACUAGAAUGGGAUGCCUUUGGAAAACCCUUUAGCAAAUGUAGUCUCUGUAUUAAAGAAUGUGAUGUUCCAUUACUGCCAAAGGUUUCUAGUUGCAUUGGCUAAGGUAAAGCUUAAAGAUGAUACAACAAGAGGUAGAGCUUGGCUACUAGUUCUGGGAGUUGGUCAAAAUUUCAAGACUGAAACAAAAGCAGAAUUUCUGUAGAGCACAAGGCUGGCAAAAUCCGGAAAACCUGCUGAAAGAAGUACUGUGUUUUCAUUGCAAAGAAGGCCUCCAAUGAGACCGAACAGUCAUAGGAAUCUCAGUGAAUGAUUCUGUUCUUGAAACAAGCUUUUUUGGUAGCAGUGGACUGUUUUAUAAAAGCUUCAAAGUCAUACAGUUAAGAACCAAAAAACAAUGGGAAUAACAGAGGAACAGAAAUUCUAGUAAGCCAGCUCUUCAGGUUUGGAGGUUCUGGGGUAUUGCGGAUCGAAGGGAGUAACCUUGGAUCCAUAGGAGUCUGCAGAGUUUGUUAAUGACAGAAAUGUGGAAAGACUGAUUGAACUUGGAAGACAGAGUAGCACCAAAGAGGCUGGACUGAGUUUAUGCUUCUGGUUCCUUUGAACUACUUUCUUCAGGUUACUUCUGAAAAAUCAGGAAUCUUCUGGGGAAUCCAGGACAUGUGGAGCUGAAUUGGCAGAAGAAUGCAGUGAAUUCAGAGAAUGGAGAUAAGCAUUUCUAGUCUUUAUCAAAUAAGUGUAUCAGUGCUCUUCAUUUAGAAGAGGAAGCACUCUGCAUCUUGAGAGUGCUUUCAUCUUGGUAGCUUCAAAGGGAAAUCACAUCUGUGUUUCACUGUGGCUGUGAGCAGCAGGGCAAGUACUCUGUUUUGCUACCUUCUGACAAGGUGAACCAAUUUUUUGGAGCAAACAUAGAUUGCCCACCUCUUUUGCUUAACUUCUUCAACUGUCUGCUUCUUAUUGUAGAUGGAUUCAUACGGAAACAAGUACAGAGUGUAAUAAAGGCUAACCCCAGGCCGGCGUAAUGGGGAGUUAAAACCAACACAGGACUUACCAUGAAAGGAUUAACAUACUCGGAACAAAGCGAAAGAAACAACACAAAAACUCCACACCAGCAGGCUCCCAGCAGAAGUUAACUGGGCAACCUGUCCGUUGGGAAGCAGAAAAUGGCCCAGUUCUGCUAAACUAGUAACUUCUCUGACGCAUUAUGAAGCUUACCAAAAAAAGGGCUGGAACCGGCCCUUGCAGCGGUCAUCUAGCCCAUCUGCCCACCUCGGGCCGGGCCAGCCGCACCUGCACCGUUCCUGGCUGCUGUCUGCCAGUUACCAAACAAAGCUUCACCAGGAGAUAACACUGAAAUGACACAGCAACCCCUCUCUUCAGUUUUACCAGGUUACUACAGUAAUCCGUUGGUAGGAAUCAGCAAAAAUAUGCAAUUGAACAAGAGAGUUAAUAACAUCCUUCUCCAUUUUAGGGAAGCCUAUAACCCAAGUCUCAAGUGACUCUUAGCAGUUUAUAGCUUUGUAUUUGUACAGCGCAAGAACUCCUACAUUAGCAUAGGUGUAAAUGAUUCAAGAUGACAUAUUCGGAAUUAUAAGAUGUGAUUUGUCCUGUUUUUUUCCUAGGUUAUUUGUCUCUAGCAUAGCCAAGGAAAAACAUUUUAGGUCUUUUUUUUUUAAUUAACAAAUUCUGAGUUAAAUGACUGAAUUUUACCAAAAGAUGUCAUUUCUGAGGACAAUUUGUCUGGUCAAAACAACCUGGUAAUGCAAGUUUGCUUGUAGCAGACUUUGCCGAGAACUGUAUUACUGCUGCACUCAGAUGACUCUGGAUAGGAUUUAACGCAGUUAGGCCCUGCAGUUCACUCAGAGGACAAACUAGCCCUUAAAACCAGCCUUUUCUUCCUCAAGACUCUGUAGAAGGAAUGAAGAUAAACUACGAUUAUGCAAGAGAGAAGAAAUGGAGGUCCUAGCUAUGAGGACUAAUCCACUGUAAGUGUUUAGGUUUUUUAAUUAAAAGACCUCAUUUAAUUUUUCACAGGUUUCUGGCCACGUAUGAAGCUGAAAGUUAAUGAUCUUGUUCACUGUUGGAAAUACCUACUGUGAUGUGCUAAAAGGGCAAAGGCUGCUGUGAGCUGAACAUCCUCUGUGGUAGGUGGAAACUCUUACUUGAACAGUAACUGCGGCUCAAUACAUGCCUGUCUUGUCUGCUGGAAAACAUUAACACUGGGUGCUACACAGUCGUCUUCAUCGAUUGCUCUGAACCUCAGUGUUUAAUAAGUAGCAUGGAAGAGCUUAAAUGGAGCAGUCAUUUUUACAUUCAGAAUCUUCUGAAGAUCUUGAUUUUUGUUUCUCCUCCUCGUUCUGCAAAAGUCCUAUCAAUUUUAAUAGCAUUACACAGAAAUUAAUGUAAAAAGUUAUAACAGUUGGCAUUCUCAGGAAAUUCUGUAUGAUUUGCCAUCAGUGCUGUGUUUAUAUCCUAGGUUGUGCAUAUACAUUUGAAUUUUAAGAAUUAGAAAUAAACGCUGUUGCGAAACUGG
Non-coding RNA from Struthio camelus australis, 10068 nucleotides. The record is from RefSeq and is a predicted model, not a curated record. Lineage: Eukaryota; Metazoa; Chordata; Aves; Struthioniformes; Struthionidae.